RNAcentral lists this ribosomal RNA (431 nucleotides) under uncultured bacterium. RNAcentral's name for it is "partial 16S ribosomal RNA". The record is from RNAcentral.
UACUNGGUUGGUUUUUGGUCUCCCGACCCGCCGGCGUUCUCCACUGCCUCUCUGCCGUCGCGCGCCGCGACCGGCGCUUGCUCCUUCGCCGUCGCGGCGGCCGGGUGCGUCCCCGUGGGCCCCUCCCUUCUCGUGGGCUCCUCCGGGCCCCCGGGGCUACACUACCCGACACUACACUCUACUUUUACCUUCCUGGUGACACACUACCUGACACACGACCGGUUUCGGCUGUCGCUACUACACGACUGGGCCCGCGGCGCCUUACGCUACGUUGGUGACGGGUACCCGGCUCCCCNACGGCGACCGACUGCGUACGCCGACCCUGACGACGGGGUGACUCGGCCCCACUGGGGACCUGACGACCACCGGUCCCACGACCUCCUACCGGGGACGGGCACGGCNCGUACGGGACACUCUUUCCACAACUGGGG